This 468-nucleotide ribosomal RNA is filed under the name uncultured bacterium. RNAcentral's name for it is "partial 16S ribosomal RNA". It matches the Rfam family "Bacterial small subunit ribosomal RNA", at positions 28 to 507 of the family's 1533-position model. The record is from RNAcentral.
GACGAACGCUGGCGGCGUGCUUAACACAUGCAAGUCGAACGGAAAGGCCCUGCUUUUGUGGGGUGCUCGAGUGGCGAACGGGUGAGUAACACGUGAGUAACCUGCCCUUGACUUUGGGAUAACUUCAGGAAACUGGGGCUAAUACCGGAUAGGAGCUCCUGCUGCAUGGUGGGGGUUGGAAAGUUUCGGCGGUUGGGGAUGGACUCGCGGCUUAUCAGCUUGUUGGUGGGGUAGUGGCUUACCAAGGCUUUGACGGGUAGCCGGCCUGAGAGGGUGACCGGCCACAAUGGGACUGAGAUACGGCCCAGACUCCUACGGGAGGCAGCAGUGGGGAAUAUUGCACAAUGGGCGGAAGCCUGAUGCAGCAACGCCGCGUUCGGGAUGACGGCCUUCGGGUUGUAAACCGCUUUCGCCUGUGACGAAGCGUGAGUGACGGUAAUGGAUAAAGAAGCACCGGCUAACUACGUG